GUGGCGAUCUUGAGCUGUGUGUAGCUGUAACCUGCAGCUUGCGCUUUUAACUGCUUGUAGUUGAGUGGCAGCAUGAGCGAGCUCUGCGUAUUCCACCCCGGCGUUAAGAAUCCUUCACUAGCUUUUCUUCCCGACUCUGCUUAUUUAUCCAUCGGUAGCAUGACGGGUAAUUGACGCCCUCGGAUGGCUUUGAGGUCGCCAUUUUUGGUUGGUGCCUUUGUCAUGGUGUCAGGACCAGGAUAUCAUCUGGGACACAUUACCCCACAGUUAGGUACCUACAGCCGCUGAGAGCCUGUAUUCCAAGGCCAUGAGACGCCUUAUGUCGAGAGCAGUUGACGAGAGAGAUCCAGCACUUACUGCAAACGGAAGGAGUGAUUACUCCCUCGCUUGCUCAGCCGCUCUUCCCAGCCACUCCUUCGGCGCCCGUCAGCACCUUCCCAGCAAGCCCUGCUUAUAUUUGCAUAUCGACUCACGUCAUUUUCUUCUAAGUAAAAAUCGAAAGGACAAAUUCUAGAUUCUCCUUAUGAAGUCUUCCUUUCAGUUCAGAAGAAAUGGAAUUCGCUCUCCAACUUCAGGAAACUGAAAUAAAGAGUUGCUUGGAUUUAGUGUUCACCUUUACCAUAAAAUGGAUUUGCUAACACUGCCACCCUGCUUUGGUAGCCAAUAAAGCAAAAAGGGCUUCUGUCGUGAGUGGCACACGUAGGGCAACUCGAUUGCUCUUCGUGCGGAAUCGACAUCAAGAGAUUUCGGAAGCAUAAUUUUUUGACAUUCGGGCAGCUGGUGAUCGUUGGUCCCGGCGCCCUUCUUUUUC
This is a non-coding RNA of Macaca mulatta (Rhesus monkey), 811 nucleotides long. Lineage: Eukaryota; Metazoa; Chordata; Mammalia; Primates; Cercopithecidae. The record is from RefSeq and is a predicted model, not a curated record.